This 93-nucleotide transfer RNA is filed under the name Schizosaccharomyces japonicus. RNAcentral describes it as "SJAG_16021.1". It matches the Rfam family "tRNA". Rfam says of the family: Transfer RNA (tRNA) molecules are approximately 80 nucleotides in length. Their secondary structure includes four short double-helical elements and three loops (D, anti-codon, and T loops). Further hydrogen bonds mediate the characteristic L-shaped molecular structure. tRNAs have two regions of fundamental functional importance: the anti-codon, which is responsible for specific mRNA codon recognition, and the 3' end, to which the tRNAs corresponding amino acid is attached (by aminoacyl-tRNA synthetases). tRNAs cope with the degeneracy of the genetic code in two manners: having more than one tRNA (with a specific anti-codon) for a particular amino acid; and 'wobble' base-pairing, i.e. permitting non-standard base-pairing at the 3rd anti-codon position. Lineage: Eukaryota; Fungi; Ascomycota; Schizosaccharomycetes; Schizosaccharomycetales; Schizosaccharomycetaceae. RNAcentral also lists the same sequence under 1 other name. The record is from RNAcentral.
GGAAGGGUGUCCGAGUGGUUAUGGAGCUAGGUUUAGGUUGACACAGCAACUCCCUAGUGCGAAAGCUCGCGGGUUCGAGUCCCGCCCCUUUCA